This 608-nucleotide long non-coding RNA is filed under the name Salvator merianae (Argentine black and white tegu). Its description in RNAcentral is "lncRNA (ENSSMRG00000018225.1)". The record is from RNAcentral. Lineage: Eukaryota; Metazoa; Chordata; Lepidosauria; Squamata; Teiidae.
UACUUCUGAACUGGCGUGUGACCCACAAGUACCAAUUUCCGUCUACAAAGAAGGUGUUACUUUUUCAGUUAGCACUAGCUAGGUGGUAAGAGUAUUAAGAUGUAGUUGAGUAGUGUAGCUCUUUCUGAUCAUAACAUUCUUAAUUACUGCUUUGCAGGCAAGAAAAUAAAUAUGGUCAGCUAAAAUUUGAAUGCAGGAUGCCAGCAAAAGUAUUGGCUUUCAGGAACCAGGCCAUUUCUUACAUGGUUACAGUCAUCGCCCAACAAAAUGGAAGUCUGCCAGUGUUUGUUGGAGAACUUGGGGAAGGGAAGAAGAAAAAGUAAUAUGUCAAAAAAGAUUAGUGCUGUUAUAUAAGACUAGGCUACUUGUUAAUAUUUUUCAUUUGCUAAAUUUCUGCAUUUUUUCCUCUGUUCUGCAGGGUAACUAAACUUAAGCAAAAAGACAUGACCAUGUUUUCUCCACAAGCCAGAUUGCAGUGUAAAAUACUUCAGUGCAAUGUUUUUAGUGCAUCUGUGGCAGAUGAAAUCGACUUGAAGGGUUUUAUUGCAAACAUGUCUUGAUCGAAUGCUCAAAAUAAAGAGUUUUUAAGCAUUAGAAGGUCUUUUCUU